GUUAAUCGAGAUUACUGGGCGUAAAGCGCAUGCAGGUGGUUUGUUAAGUCAGAUGUGAAAGCCCGGGGCUCAACCUCGGAAUUGCAUUUGAAACUGGCAGACUAGAGUACUGUAGAGGCUGGUAGAAUUUCAGGUGUAGCGGUGAAAUGCGUAGAGAUCUGAAGGCCUACCGGUGGCGAAGGCGGCCCCCUGGACAGAUACUGACACUCAGAUGCGAAAGCGUGGGGAGCAAACAGGAUUAGAUACCCUGGUAGUCCACGCCGUAAAGCGAUGUCUACUUGGAGGUUGUGGCCUUGAGCCGUGGCUUUCGGAGCUAACGCGUUAAGUAGACCGCCUGGGGAGGCAUGUCGCAAGAUUAAAACUCAAAUGAAUUGAC
This 376-nucleotide ribosomal RNA is filed under the name Vibrio parahaemolyticus. RNAcentral's name for it is "bacterial SSU rRNA". It matches the Rfam family "Bacterial small subunit ribosomal RNA", at positions 540 to 914 of the family's 1533-position model. Lineage: Bacteria; Pseudomonadati; Pseudomonadota; Gammaproteobacteria; Vibrionales; Vibrionaceae. The record is from RNAcentral.